GUCGAGAAUAAUUCACAAUGGGCGAAAGCCUGAUCCAGCCAUGCCGCGUGUGUGAAGAAGGUCUUCGGAUUGUAAAGCACUUUAAGUUGGGAGGAAGGGCAUUAACCUAAUACGUUAGUGUUUUGACGUUACCGACAGAAUAAGCACCGGCUAACUUCGUGCCAGCAGCCGCGGUAAUACGAAGGGUGCAAGCGUUAAUCGGAAUUACUGGGCGUAAAGCGCGCGUAGGUGGUUCGUUAAGUUGGAUGUGAAAGCCCCGGGCUCAACCUGGGAACUGCAUCCAAAACUGGCGAGCUAGAGUACGGUAGAGGGUGGUGGAAUUUCCUGUGUAGCGGUGAAAUGCGUAGAUAUAGGAAGGAACACCAGUGGCGAAGGCGACCACCUGGACUGAUACUGACACUGAGGUGCGAAAGCGUGGGGAGCAAACAGGAUUAGAUACCCCUGUAGUCC
RNAcentral lists this ribosomal RNA (450 nucleotides) under uncultured bacterium. Its description in RNAcentral is "partial 16S ribosomal RNA". It matches the Rfam family "Bacterial small subunit ribosomal RNA", at positions 354 to 796 of the family's 1533-position model. The record is from RNAcentral.